GCCGGCGUAGCUCAGCCUGGUCAGAGCGCACGCCUCGUAAGCGUGAGUGCAAGGGAUCAAAGCCCUUCGCCGGCU
This 75-nucleotide transfer RNA is filed under the name Nitrososphaerota archaeon. RNAcentral's name for it is "tRNA-Thr". The record is from RNAcentral. Lineage: Archaea; Thermoproteati; Nitrososphaerota.